Asterias rubens (European starfish) is the source of this 317-nucleotide long non-coding RNA. RefSeq lists it as uncharacterized. The record is from RefSeq and is a predicted model, not a curated record. The transcript has 3 exons. Lineage: Eukaryota; Metazoa; Echinodermata; Asteroidea; Forcipulatida; Asteriidae.
UUACAGAGGGAGAAGUCAAGUCUAGUUCAGUGUCUUGAGGAUGAGGAGUGUGGGAGUCUAAAGCUGAAGCAGAUGAUGUCACUGCUGGAGCAUGAACUAAACCAAAGUAAUCAGUUAAUGUCAAUGCAUCAUACCAUCAGCGAGAAGAAGGAUGUGAACUACCGGACUGAUGAUGAAGUAUAUAACAAUUUGGUGGUGUGGAGACAAAGCUGCAUCGCACAAUUGAUGAGGUUGACAGAGAAACUGAUAGUAUCAAGAAUGAGAUAAAUCACCACACUAAGUAUGGUCGUCAGGGAACCAAGCAGGCUGUGGACUGU